GACUGUUUCACUGGAUUUGUCGCUAGUCGCUUUUGUGAAAAAAAGUUGCUAAGGGGGUCUGAAAAGUCUCUAAAUCUAGCAACAAAGUCGCUAGGUUGGCGACACUGGUUUCACCUCUGUGUAAUGUAGUUCUUGCAUAUAGUAAAGUCUCAAAGUUGCCGCUGUCAUUACAUUACCAUCGUCAUAUUUUAUACAGGC
Sander lucioperca (pikeperch) is the source of this 198-nucleotide long non-coding RNA. RefSeq lists it as uncharacterized. The transcript has 3 exons. The record is from RefSeq and is a predicted model, not a curated record. NCBI's taxonomy places the organism in Eukaryota, Metazoa, Chordata, Actinopteri, Perciformes, Percidae.